RNAcentral lists this ribosomal RNA (459 nucleotides) under Cestoplana rubrocincta. Its description in RNAcentral is "partial large subunit ribosomal RNA". It matches the Rfam family "Bacterial large subunit ribosomal RNA", at positions 1811 to 2607 of the family's 2925-position model. The record is from RNAcentral. Lineage: Eukaryota; Metazoa; Platyhelminthes; Polycladida; Cestoplanidae.
AAACAUCGCUUUUUGAAAUUAUAAAAGGUAAAACCUGCUCAAUGUAAUUAAUUUAGUAAAUAGCUGCGGUAUUUUAACUGCACAAAGGUAGCAUAAUUAAUUGUCUCUUAAAUGGGGACUUGUUUGAAAGGUAUGAUGAGAUAGGGUCUAUCUAUAUUAUUUAUUAGAAUUUACCAUAUUGGGUUAAAAGGCCUAUAUAUAGUAGAAAGAAGAGAAGACCCUGAUGAGUUUGACGAUUAAUUAUCGUUUUGAUGGGACAUUAAAAUUUAUUUUAAAUAUUUAUUUGAUCCUAUAGUAAGGAAUAAUGUCUAAAUUACCACAGGGAUAACAGGACAAAGCUUAUUGUGAGCACGAAUCUAAAUAAGAGAUUGUUACUUCGAUGUUGAAUCAAAAUUUACUUCCAUGGUGAAAAAGUUUAUAAAGUGAGUCUGUUCGACUUUUAAAAUUUUACGUGAUUUG